This is a long non-coding RNA of Thunnus maccoyii (southern bluefin tuna), 271 nucleotides long. RefSeq lists it as uncharacterized. The record is from RefSeq and is a predicted model, not a curated record. The transcript has 3 exons. NCBI's taxonomy places the organism in Eukaryota, Metazoa, Chordata, Actinopteri, Scombriformes, Scombridae.
ACGUGUUUUAUUACAUCGGUGGCCAACCUCAGAAGAAAGACGACAAACUCGCUCUCAGGAAAACUACAGCGAGCAUCAGAUGUGAAUCACACUAUUAAACAGGCCACGGAAAUACACACAUCAAACAUCCUCUUCAAACUAACCACGUGUUUUAUUACAUCGGUGGCCAACCUCAGAAGAAAGACGACAAACUCGCUCUCAGGAAAACUACAGCGAGCAUCAGAUGUGAAUCACACUAUUAAACAGGCCACGGAAAUACACACACCAAACA